This 334-nucleotide unclassified non-coding RNA is filed under the name soil metagenome. RNAcentral describes it as "partial contains 5.8S ribosomal RNA, internal transcribed spacer 2, and large subunit ribosomal RNA". The stretch from base 1 to 120 matches the Rfam family "5.8S ribosomal RNA", at positions 35 to 154 of the family's 154-position model. The record is from RNAcentral.
GAUGAAGAACGCAGCGAAAUGCGAUAAGUAGUGUGAAUUGCAGAAUUCAGUGAAUCAUCGAAUCUUUGAACGCACAUUGCGCCCCUUGGUAUUCCAUGGGGCAUGCCUGUUCGAGCGUCAUUUGUACCUUCAAGCUUUGCUUGGUGUUGGGUGUUUGUCCAUUCUCUUGCAGAGGGACUCGCCUUAAAGUAAUUGGCAGCCAGUGUUUUGGUUUUGAAGCGCAGCACAAGUCGCGAUUCAACGCUAUACGCCAGCUUCCACAAGCCUUUUUCACUUUUGACCUCGGAUCAGGUAGGGAUACCCGCUGAACUUGAGCAUAUCAAUAAGCGGAGGA